UGGGAUUUGCUGGGAUGUGUGUGCUUUUUGUUGAGUGUUUAUCAAAUCUCAUAUUCCUUAAUCCUGAAGUGUUCCUGUCUGUAUAGCGAAAUCUAUCUGAAUUAAUUCUACUGAUAAGACUGGAGUAUGAAUUUCCUCCCUGCAUAACAGUCUGAGGGUCUCAUCUUAUUGAAUCACAAGUUUCUGACUUGGGAGUGGAGGUGCACAUGUGUGGGGGCGUCUGAGAUGGACUCUUGCCAUCACUGGGCACAAAUAUUUCCUUUGUAAUGCAGAAUACCCCAAAGGGUUUCAAAUGAACUGCAUCCUGACUCCCUCUACACACAGGCACAGGGGUCUGCCAUUAUGCUUUUUGCAGAAACCACAUUUCUAAUUUGCUGUUUAAAAAAAGGCGCAGUACAUCAACUGGUUUAUAACAGAGCAAACACUGUUUGUUAAAUCCUAUGCAGGUAAACAGCUCAUUUCCUUCCUGCUCUAUUGUUAAACCUCGUAACUCAAAAUCCGGUCACCUUAUUUCACAUUUUUUGGAGGUCGGAGAGUUGCAUGACUUUCUGCAGAGUUCUGCAGCUCCCGUAGGUGAGAUGCCAAUAUGUCUGUCUGCAGGUAUUCAAUGGUUUGAAAAGGAAAGAAGGAUUGCUUUGAAGCUAAGUAUUAAACAUUAGUUCUAGCUUUUUAACUGUUUCUGCCAUUGCUUUCCUGUCUUUGGCCUCAAAAUAGCAGAGGUUAGUGCCCACCCAGAGCUGUGGGCAUCCACUGCCUUACAACCAGCAGCUCAGAUUAUGCCUGUCUCCACAAAAACUGCUAGAGCUACCAAAUGCAAUGCUUUCAGCCUACUUCUGGUCACGGGAAGAGUUUUCCAAGGUCUACAGACCAUCAGAGGCCUCUGUAAUCCCAAAGAGCUGGCACUCCUUUUGGAUGCUGGUAUGCAAAAUGUUGACCUCUAACACAGAAAACUGCUAUCAGAUAGGACCUUCAUAACUAAUGCCACUUAAAACAUCCCAGCUAGAAAAGUUAUUGAUGCGAUAACUAGGAAAGACCUCUGUCAAUACCUAACUAUAAGUUGCAGUCUAUUCAGCCCCAAGUUUACAGUUGAGAAAAAUAUGACUCAAGAGCCCUCAAUUGGCUGACAAAUAAUAAACACUGCUAGAAUCGGGGGCCAGGUUGGAUUCCAAGAUAUGGCAACAGAUGGGUCAGGUGGAUGGACCUCCCGAUCAGUGGGGCAGCAGUAAACUCUACCACCUUCCAACUGGCUAGUGGCAGUGGAACUCUGGCCAAGGGUGUAGGUAGCAAGACAACAGGAGCCACAAGUCACCCAGGCUGCCAUCAGGGUAAAUAAAGGCUGCUGUAAAAUGCACACGCAACCCAACAAAAACUGUUUCCCAGUCUUAUUAAUAAGGUUAUUUAGGCAUAAAAUGUCAGAUGGCCUGAUUCUGUAUGUUAAACAGGUGUUUCUUGAAGGGAAAAGUCUUUGAGAGAGUGAUUGCUAGCAUUUACUGAUGGCAGGACAAGAGGUUCCUCACCUGCUGCCACCAGCAGCCCUGAGUUGGGAGUGUGCCACAGGGCUUGGGUUGUAGUGUCACUAUACUGACACUGAGUAUAGCUUGGGAGUUCAAAAUAAAGCAAUUAAAAUUCCCUUUGAAAUAUUUGUGAAAAGAAUGAAGGUACUUCAGGAACCAAGCAAGGCAGAAUGAGAAAGAAAAAAAACAGUAGUCUUCCCGUGGUUUUCAGGAUAAACUUUUCAGUCUUCAGAUCAUCUUCAUUUAUUUUG
This is a long non-coding RNA of Gallus gallus (chicken), 1765 nucleotides long. The record is from Ensembl. Lineage: Eukaryota; Metazoa; Chordata; Aves; Galliformes; Phasianidae.